UACGUAGGGUGCAAGCGUUGUCCGGAAUUAUUGGGCGUAAAGAGCUCGUAGGCGGUCUGUCGCGUCUGCUGUGAAAACUCGGGGCUUAACCCCGGGCCUGCAGUGGGUACGGGCAGGCUGGAGGCAGGCAGGGGAGAACGGAAUUCCCGGUGUAGCGGUGAAAUGCGCAGAUAUCGGGAGGAACACCGGUGGCGAAGGCGGUUCUCUGGGCCUGUACUGACGCUGAGGAGCGAAAGCGUGGGGAGCGAACAGG
Molecule: ribosomal RNA, 253 nt
Filed under: uncultured bacterium
Lineage: Bacteria
Description: partial 16S ribosomal RNA
Rfam family: Bacterial small subunit ribosomal RNA
Source: RNAcentral